GAGCCCCCAGGUGACACAGAGCUUUCUGCAGCAGAAGCAGCGCCAAGGCGCAGCGGAGAGGACCCUGCAGAGGAGGAGACACCCCGCACCGACUGCUGGCAAGGAAACAAAGCAGACAAUAGAGUUCCCUUCAUGCACCCGUCUCUUCACAAAAAAAGCCGUCCCGCCUCGCACCAGGGAAGGGAAUACCGAAGCACAACAGACCACAGGAAGCCCGAGGAGAAACCCACCAACAUGAAAGUGAUGACAUCACAAUGACAUCACGUGUUUGAGACUCAUGUGAGCCGCUUGUGGUAUGGCCUGGCAACAAUGUCAUUGUGUCCGACUUGGGCAAUAAACAAUUACAUUAACAACCUUGA
This is a long non-coding RNA of Lethenteron reissneri (Far Eastern brook lamprey), 359 nucleotides long. RefSeq lists it as uncharacterized. The record is from RefSeq and is a predicted model, not a curated record. NCBI's taxonomy places the organism in Eukaryota, Metazoa, Chordata, Hyperoartia, Petromyzontiformes, Petromyzontidae.